GAAGGGGGCGAGCGUUGUUCGGAUUUACUGGGCGUAAAGGGCGCGCAGGCGGCCAUUCAAGUCAGGCGUGAAAGCCCCGGGCUUAACCUGGGAGGUGCGCUUGGGACUGGGUGGCUAGAGAUCGGGAGAGGAGAGUGGAAUUCCCAGUGUAGAGGUGAAAUUCGUAGAUAUUGGGAAGAACACCGGUGGCGAAGGCGGCUCUCUGGACCGAUACUGACGCUGAGGCGCGAAAGCGUGGGGAGCAAACAGGAUUAGAUACCCUGGUAGUCCACGCUGUAAACGAUGUGUGCUAGACGUUGGGGAGCCUAGCUCUUCGGUGUCGCAGUUAACGCUUUAAGCACACCGCCUGGGGAGUACGGCCGCAAGG
This 367-nucleotide ribosomal RNA is filed under the name uncultured bacterium. Its description in RNAcentral is "bacterial SSU rRNA". It matches the Rfam family "Bacterial small subunit ribosomal RNA", at positions 527 to 893 of the family's 1533-position model. The record is from RNAcentral.